Molecule: ribosomal RNA, 165 nt
Filed under: Epibryaceae sp.
Lineage: Eukaryota; Fungi; Ascomycota; Eurotiomycetes; Chaetothyriales; Epibryaceae
Description: partial large subunit ribosomal RNA
Rfam family: Eukaryotic large subunit ribosomal RNA
Source: RNAcentral
CGGCAACAGCUCAAAUUUGAAAUCUGGCUCUUUCAGGGUCCGAGUUGUAAUUUGUAGAGGAUGUUUCGGGCUUCGAUCCGGCUUAAAUUUCUUGGAACAGAAUGUCAAAGAGGGUGAGAAUCCCGUCUUGAGUCGGUCCUCGGGUCCAUGUGAAACUCCUUCGAC